UUUAUUUUCAGGUUUCUCUUCAGAGUCUCAUGAGCUACUAGCUCAUCCAAGGGCUGAUGGAGAUGCUGAAAAUGCACCCAGCUUGCUACCAGUGUGCUGUGAACAUGCUAUACAAGUAGAUGAAGGAGAAUCAGAAGAAAUGCCCCGGUUAUUGCCUUAUGAUGCAGAAGAGACCUUUGAUCUAAACACUCCCCAAAUCACUAAUGAAGGAGAACCAGAGAAAGGGCUCAGUCUACUACCAGGUGAAGGAGAAGAGGGCAGUGAUGACUGUUUGGAAAUGUGUGAUGGAGAAGAGCCCCAGGAAGCCUCUAGCUCCCUAGCAAGAUGUGGGUCAGAGACGUUUGCGCUAAACACUCCCCAAAUCACUAAUGAAGGAGAACCAGAGAAAAGGCUUGGUCUACUACCGGGUGAAGGAGAAGUAUCUAGUGAACUAAAAGAUCACCAAAUGAAUGAAGAAGAAGAAUCAGAAGAGCUUGCUUCUAGCCUGCUACGUGAGGAUGUACCAGAUACUGUGGAUACUGGAAGCAACUCUGCUUUGGAAAGUACCAAACCCAAGAGGAAAAGAAGUAAGAAUAAAUACGAAUUUACUUGCUUUUGAUGUUGCAA
Molecule: long non-coding RNA, 606 nt
Filed under: Saimiri boliviensis boliviensis (Bolivian squirrel monkey)
Lineage: Eukaryota; Metazoa; Chordata; Mammalia; Primates; Cebidae
Description: lncRNA (ENSSBOG00000036660.1)
Source: RNAcentral